This 301-nucleotide ribosomal RNA is filed under the name uncultured bacterium. Its description in RNAcentral is "partial 16S ribosomal RNA". It matches the Rfam family "Bacterial small subunit ribosomal RNA", at positions 509 to 809 of the family's 1533-position model. The record is from RNAcentral.
CAGCCGCCGCGGGAAUACGAAGGGUGCAAGCGUUAAUCGGAAUUACUGGGCGUAAAGCGUGCGUAGGCGGUGAGUUAAGUCUGCUGUGAAAUCCCCGGGCUCAACCUGGGAAUGGCAGUGGAUACUGGCUCGCUAGAGUGUGUCAGAGGAUGGUGGAAUUCCCGGUGUAGCGGUGAAAUGCGUAGAGAUCGGGAGGAACAUCAGUGGCGAAGGCGGCCAUCUGGGACAACACUGACGCUGAGGCACGAAAGCGUGGGGAGCAAACAGGAUUAGAUACCCCAGUAGUCCCUGUCUCUUAUCC